Non-coding RNA from Picea glauca (white spruce), 104 nucleotides. The record is from Rfam. Lineage: Eukaryota; Viridiplantae; Streptophyta; Pinopsida; Pinales; Pinaceae.
AGCAUGUUCAAAGAUAUAUGAUAAAAUAAGAAUGAUACGUAGAAUAUUAGCAUGGCCCAUAUGCAGGGAUGACAUACACAAAUCAUGAAAUGAUCCAAAAUUUU